RNAcentral lists this ribosomal RNA (413 nucleotides) under uncultured prokaryote. RNAcentral's name for it is "bacterial SSU rRNA". It matches the Rfam family "Bacterial small subunit ribosomal RNA", at positions 505 to 918 of the family's 1533-position model. The record is from RNAcentral.
GUGUCAGCCGCCGCGGUAAUACGGAGGGGGUUAGCGUUGUUCGGAAUUACUGGGCGUAAAGCGCACGUAGGCGGAUCAGAAAGUUGGGGGUGAAAUCCCGGGGCUCAACCCCGGAACUGCCUCCAAAACUUCUGGUCUGGAGUUCGAGAGAGGUGAGUGGAAUUCCGAGUGUAGAGGUGAAAUUCGUAGAUAUUCGGAGGAACACCAGUGGCGAAGGCGGCUCACUGGCUCGAUACUGACGCUGAGGUGCGAAAGUGUGGGGAGCAAACAGGAUUAGAUACCCUGGUAGUCCACACCGUAAACGAUGAAUGCCAGUCGUCGGCAAGCAUGCUUGUCGGUGACACACCUAACGGAUUAAGCAUUCCGCCUGGGGAGUACGGCCGCAAGGUUAAAACUCAAAUGAAUUGACGGGG